This 366-nucleotide ribosomal RNA is filed under the name uncultured eukaryote. RNAcentral's name for it is "partial 18S ribosomal RNA". It matches the Rfam family "Eukaryotic small subunit ribosomal RNA", at positions 592 to 976 of the family's 1831-position model. The record is from RNAcentral.
CAAUAGCGUAUAUUAAAGUUGUUGCAGUUAAAAAGCUCGUAGUUGAAUUUCUGGCGGGCGCGCCGGUCUUCCAAGUGUUGUACUGGGCGCAGUCCGCCAUCCUUGUGGAGAGGGCUCGCAUUGAGUUGCGUGUCGGAUCUGCAUCAUUUACUGUGAAAAAAUUAGAGUGUUUAAAGCAGGCUGUCGCUUGAAUACAUUAGCAUGGAAUAAUAAGAUAGGACUUCGGUCUAUUUUGUUGGUUGCGAACCGAGGUAAUGAUUAAUAGGGAUAGUUGGGGGUAUUCAUAUUUAAUUGUCAGAGGUGAAAUUCUUGGAUUUAUGAAAGAUGAAUAACUGCGAAAGCAUUUACCAAGGAUGUUUUCAUUAA